UUCUUAUCCAGAGCGGCGGAGGGACUGGCCCUAUGAAGCCCGGCAACCACCAUGCAAGUGGAAGGUGCCAAAUCCAUCAGCGUAUGCACGUAUGCGCUGAAAGAUAAGAG
This 110-nucleotide non-coding RNA is filed under the name Salisediminibacterium beveridgei. RNAcentral describes it as "Bacillus beveridgei SAM-I sequence". It matches the Rfam family "SAM riboswitch aptamer (S box leader)". Rfam says of the family: The SAM riboswitch is found upstream of a number of genes which code for proteins involved in methionine or cysteine biosynthesis in Gram-positive bacteria. The record is from Rfam by way of RNAcentral. Lineage: Bacteria; Bacillati; Bacillota; Bacilli; Caryophanales; Bacillaceae.